CGCGGCGUACCCAAGUGGUCGAAGGGGACGGUCUCAUAGCCCGUUAUCCGCAGGUUCGAAUCCUGCCGCCGCGU
Molecule: transfer RNA, 74 nt
Filed under: Pseudoclavibacter chungangensis
Lineage: Bacteria; Bacillati; Actinomycetota; Actinomycetes; Micrococcales; Microbacteriaceae
Description: Pseudoclavibacter sp. CAU 59 tRNA
Rfam family: tRNA
About the family: Transfer RNA (tRNA) molecules are approximately 80 nucleotides in length. Their secondary structure includes four short double-helical elements and three loops (D, anti-codon, and T loops).
Source: Rfam by way of RNAcentral